AUACGGAGGGGGUUAGCGUUGUUCGGAAGUACUGGGCGUAAAGCGCACGUAGGCGGACUGGAAAGUUGGGGGUGAAAUCCCGGGGCUCAACCCCGGAACUGCCUCCAAAACUUCCAAUCUAGAGAUCGAGAGAGGUGAGUGGAAUUACAAGUGUAGAGGUGAAAUUCGUAGAUAUUUGGAGGAACACCAGUGGCGAAGGCGGCUCACUGGCUCGAUACUGACGCUGAGGUGCGAAAGCGUGGGGAGCAAACAGGAUUAGAUACCCUAGUAGUCC
Molecule: ribosomal RNA, 274 nt
Filed under: uncultured bacterium
Lineage: Bacteria
Description: partial 16S ribosomal RNA
Rfam family: Bacterial small subunit ribosomal RNA
Source: RNAcentral